AUCUGGGAAAGCUCAGUCGGUAAAGCGUGAGACUCUUAAUAUCAGGGUUGUGGGUUCGAGUUCCACGCUGGGCA
Podarcis lilfordi (Lilford's wall lizard) is the source of this 74-nucleotide non-coding RNA. NCBI's taxonomy places the organism in Eukaryota, Metazoa, Chordata, Lepidosauria, Squamata, Lacertidae. The record is from the annotation of a GenBank genome assembly.